Long non-coding RNA from Pan troglodytes (chimpanzee), 1794 nucleotides. RefSeq lists it as uncharacterized. The transcript is spliced from 9 exons. Lineage: Eukaryota; Metazoa; Chordata; Mammalia; Primates; Hominidae. The record is from RefSeq and is a predicted model, not a curated record.
UCAUUCAUAGAGUCAGUUUGGGAAGGGGAAUUUUCGCUGAACUCUCAUAGAGAAACUGUGUUUUAGAUAACAGAAAGUUCUGCACGGUUAAAAUGGAACAGAAUUUUUUUUGCACAGAAAUUAGGAUUACCGAAAAUACUGAAGAAAGACUACCUCUGAUUGGACUCUUCUCAAGGAAUUAAUAAUUCAAGAACUAAGGAAAGAAAAAAGUGAUUAUAUGAAAAUACUGAAGUUGAUCGUAGCAACUGAAGGCUGAUCCUGUAGUCUCACUGUAUCACCCAGGCUGAAGUACAUUGGUGCAAUCUUGGCUCACUGCAUCUCCACCCCAGGUUCAAGCGAUUCUCCUGCCUCAGCCUCCCAAGCAGCUGGGAUUACAGAAUGUCACAUAAAUGGAAUCAUGCUGUGUCCGGAAUUGGUGGGUUCUUGGUCUCACUGACUUCAAGAAUGACGCCAUGGACCCUCACGGUGAGUGUUACAGCUCUUAAGGUGGCGCGUCUGGAGUUUGUUCCUUCUGAUGUUCGGAUGUGUUCGGAGUUUCUUCCUUCUGGUGGGUUCGUGGUCUCGCUGGCUCAGGAGUGAAGCUGCAGACUUUCGUGAUGGAGUCUCACUCUGUUGCCCAGCCUGUAGUACAGUGGCACAAUCUCAGCUCACUGCAACCUCUGCCUCCCAGGUUCAAGUGAUUCUCCUGCCUCAGCCUCCUGAGUAGCUGGGAUUACAGCACCAUAGGUUUUAAAAGGCAGUGUUCCCAUAAGAAAUAAUGGCAAAGAAAGGAACUCCCAGUCACAUUCAGCAAACCUGUUUUCCCAGCUAAUUCAUGCACUGGUUGAUGCAGAUACAUCAGACAGAUGGUAUACAUCUCUUCGUGACUCAAUCUGCUGAACGAUGCAACUGUCACAGUAUCCAACAGGCAGGGUCUUACUCUGUCACCUGGCCUGGAGUACAGUGGCACAAUCACGCUUCACUGCAGCCUCAACCUUCCUGGCUCAAGCGAUCUUCCUACCUCAGGCUUCCAAGUAGUUGGGACAGAUGGUCUUACUCUGUUGCCCAGGCUGAAGUGCAGUGGCACGAUCUUGGCUCACUAUAACCUUUGCCUCCCGGAUUCAAGCAAUUCUCCUGCCUCAGCCUCCCAAGUAGCUGGGACUACAGCAACUGUGGAAGACCAGAUUCUCAAGAAGGAGAUGCUGAGAUAGAGUUUGGGAGGCAAAAUGUUUAUUAAGGACCCAUACCUGUGAAAGGAAGGAAGAAAAAGCAGGACUGGGCAGAGGGAAAGUCAACCUGUGCUGCAGGCUCGACCAAGCUCAGCCAAUCAGCAGGUCACUCUAGAAUGAGAAGUGCUCAUCAGGGCUUUCCAGCAUCAAGUUUAAAUGGCUGGACCUUUAUACCUCUGCCUUGCUCAGUCACCAAAUGUGGGCUACCCCAGGAAGGGCAUGACCUCAGGUGAGGCAGCCCUGCAGCUGAAGCAGGCUCUGAAGGAACUGAAAGCUGGUAUUGUCUGCUGCCCUCUCUCUGCAGCUAGGCAGCAUGUCCUUUCUUGAAGGUGAUCUGGGCAACACAUCACCAUGUGUCUCACAAUGACAUACAGACAUGAAGGGACAUAAAUCCUAAGUAUACAAUUUGGUGACCUCACCCAGCUCAAAAAGUAGAAAUGAUCUGCAUCACAGAACCCCCAUUUAUUCCUCUUCUCAGUCAAUCUUUCUUCCCAAGGUAACCACUAUCCUUCUUCUAUCACCAUAGACUCAUUUACCUGCUUUUUAAAUUUUUAACUGUGGUCAAAUACACAUAAUAUAAAACUUA